This 467-nucleotide long non-coding RNA is filed under the name Mytilus galloprovincialis (Mediterranean mussel). Lineage: Eukaryota; Metazoa; Mollusca; Bivalvia; Mytilida; Mytilidae. The record is from RNAcentral.
GUUGUAGUCUUGUAUUAAAAGAAAAAAAAGUCGUCCUGUCUCAUUAUAAUAGAUGAUUAAAAAAAACAAGAAGUCCAAACAUCUGACUAAAAUUCCUAAAUCUUACACAAGUACAUAAGUAUGUAUACACAUUGAACAGUCGUAGAUAUUAGUAAACAAUUGAUUUCCAGACUACCUAUUCCAAUUUUAACACCAUUUAAAUUCAUUAAAAGGCGUCACCGAUCACUAAAAUGAGAUUGUUAAGUUUGACAAAAUUAAGAUUUCACCAGACAAACGAUCGACAAUGACUGUUUCUGGAUAUCUUCAAGCGGUACUCAUUUUCCAACAAAAAAGAAGGAAUUAAAAUACAUAACAUACGAUUGAUUGGUCUUGAUUUGAGCAAAAGUAACUAAGUAGAAAUUCAUGUUUGGAGAGUAAAAAAAAAACCAACAAAAUCACUGAAAUAAGUAAUAUCAAAAUCACUAGUG